AUUGAACGCUGGCGGAAUGCUUUACACAUGCAAGUCGAACGGCAGCACGGACUUCGGUCUGGUGGCGAGUGGCGAACGGGUGAGUAAUGUAUCGGAACGUGCCCAGUCGUGGGGGAUAACGUAGUGAAAAUUACGCUAAUACCGCAUACGAUCUAUGGAUGAAAGCGGGGGAUCGCAAGACCUCGCGCGAUUGGAGCGGCCGAUAUCAGAUUAGGUAGUUGGUGGGGUAAAGGCCCACCAAGCCAACGAUCUGUAGCUGGUCUGAGAGGACGGCCAGCCACACUGGAACUGAGACACGGUCCAGACUCCUACGGGAGGCAGCAGUGGGGAAUUUUGGACAAUGGGCGAAAGCCUGAUCCAGCCAUUCCGCGUGCAGGAUGAAGGCCCUCGGAUUGUAAACUGCUUUUGUACAGAACGAAAAGGUUUCUACUAAUACUAGGAGCUCAUGACGGUACUGUAAGAAUAAGCACCGGCUAACUACGUGCCAGCCGCCGCGGUAA
RNAcentral lists this ribosomal RNA (500 nucleotides) under uncultured bacterium. RNAcentral describes it as "partial 16S ribosomal RNA". It matches the Rfam family "Bacterial small subunit ribosomal RNA", at positions 30 to 523 of the family's 1533-position model. The record is from RNAcentral.